Molecule: ribosomal RNA, 1365 nt
Filed under: uncultured Aerosphaera sp.
Lineage: Bacteria; Bacillati; Bacillota; Bacilli; Lactobacillales
Description: bacterial SSU rRNA
Rfam family: Bacterial small subunit ribosomal RNA
Source: RNAcentral
AGAGUUUGAUCCUGGCUCAGGACGAACGCUGGCGGCGUGCCUAAUACAUGCAAGUCGAACGCACUGACAGAGAAACUUGUUUCUCUAGACGUGAGUGGCGCACGGGUGAGUAACACGUAGGAAACCUACCCUUCAGCGGGGGAUAACCGUCGGAAACGAUGGCUAAUACCGCAUAGGUCUUUUAACCGCCUGGUUGAAAGAGGAAAGACGGCUUCGGCUGUCACUGAAGGAUGGUCCCGCGGUGCAUUAGCUAGUUGGUAAGGUAACGGCUUACCAAGGCGAUGAUGCAUAGCCGACCUGAGAGGGUGAUCGGCCACAUUGGGACUGAGACACGGCCCAAACUCCUACGGGAGGCAGCAGUAGGGAAUCUUCCGCAAUGGACGCAAGUCUGACGGAGCAACGCCGCGUGUGUGAAGAAGGUCUUCGGAUCGUAAAGCACUGUUAUUAGAGAAGAACAACCGGUAGAGUAACUGUUACCGGCUUGACGGUAUCUACAGAAAGGCCAGGCUAACUACGUGCAGCAGCGCGGUAAUACGUAAGGUGGCAAGCGUUGUCGGAUUUAUUGGGCGUAAAGGGAGCGCAAGGCGGUGACUUAAGUCUGAUUGGAAAGCCCACGGCUCAACCGUGGAAAGGUCAUUGGAAACUGGGUCACUUGAGUGCAGAAGAGGAAAGUGGAAUUUCAUGUGUAGCGGGUGAAAUGCGUAGAUAUAUGGAGGAACACCAGUGGCGAAGGCGACUUUCUGGUCUGUAACUGACGCUGAGGCUCGAAAGCGUGGGGAGCAAACAGGAUUAGAUACCUGGUAGUCCACGCGUAAACGAUGAGUGCUAAGUGUUGGAGGGUUUCCACCCUUCAGUGCUGGAGUUAACGCAAUAAGCACUCCGCCUGGGGAGUACGGUCGCAAGACUGAAACUCAAAGGAAUUGACGGGGACCCGCACAAGCGGAGGAACAUGUGGUUUAAUUCGAUGAUACGCGAGGAACCUUACCAGGGCUUGACAUGCCGCUGACCGGUCUAGAGAUAGACCUUUACCCUUCGGGGUACAGCGGACACAGGUGCUGCAUGGCUGUCGUCAGCUCGUGUCGUGAGAUGUUGGGUUAAGUCCCGCAACGAGCGCAACCCUUGUCUUUAGUUGCCAUCAUUAAGUUGGGCACUCUAAAGAGACUGCCGAUGACAAAUCGGAGGAAGGUGGGGAUGACGUCAAAUCAUCAUGCCCUUUAUGUCCUGGGCUACACACGUGCUACAAUGGUCGGUACAACGAGAAGCAAGCCAGCGAUGGCAAGCAAAUCUCUAAAAGCCGAUCCCAGUUCGGAUUGCAGGCUGCAACUCGCCUGCAUGAAGUCGGAGUUGCUAGUAAUCGCGGAUCAG